RNAcentral lists this microRNA precursor (66 nucleotides) under Bombyx mori (domestic silkworm). Its description in RNAcentral is "mir-2774 microRNA precursor family". It matches the Rfam family "mir-2774 microRNA precursor family". Lineage: Eukaryota; Metazoa; Arthropoda; Insecta; Lepidoptera; Bombycidae. The record is from Rfam by way of RNAcentral.
ACUUCAGUUGGACCGCCGGUAUGCCGAGCAAUAUCACCCGCUCGGUGGAAGAUCUUCCUUCGUCGU